Molecule: small nuclear RNA, 105 nt
Organism: Zalophus californianus (California sea lion)
Lineage: Eukaryota; Metazoa; Chordata; Mammalia; Carnivora; Otariidae
Source: Ensembl
GAUUGCUUCGGCAGCCCAUAUACUAAAAUUGGAAUGAUACGGAGAAGAUUAGCAUGGGGCCUACACAAGGAUAAUGCACAGAUGUGUGACACGUUCCAGAUCUUU